RNAcentral lists this long non-coding RNA (258 nucleotides) under Ananas comosus (pineapple). Its description in RNAcentral is "long non-coding RNA (ACOM_LNC032187)". Lineage: Eukaryota; Viridiplantae; Streptophyta; Magnoliopsida; Poales; Bromeliaceae. The record is from RNAcentral.
UUGAUCUUACAAUUUAAUCUUUCAAACUGUUGGAUUAGAAUCAGCAAACGAUAUUUUAUCUUUUAAAUUUAAAUAUAUCAGUUAUCUCUACGGCAAUAGUUAGUGAACUUUAUAUAGUUUUCACAAUUAUAAAUUUAGUAAAACAAGUAAUUAAUUUAAAUAAAUUGAAAGAUUGUAUAGUAAAAUUAAAAUUUUAAAAGAUUGAAUGGUCUAUGCAAGAUAAUUCAGAUAUAUUUUGUGUGUUUCUGAUUUUUUAUU